UUCAAUUCAGUUGAAUAUAAUAUCAACUUAUGCAAGACAUAAGAGAGAAGAAAGUUCAGUGCACUAUUAUAAAUUGUCAUGAUGCUUUGGAAGCUCUCAUGUAAUCCACAAGAUAUUUUAUGGAGUAUAAAGUUCAGCAUCUUGAAAGACACCCCCACUCAGCAAAGAAUCUUGAUGCUCCUCCGUUACAAGAACACUUGCCAGCCGGCAACAGCCUUGAAAGGAGGCCUGAAUUGACAGGUAAUAAAGACUGCCUUCUGAAGUUUUAAGGUGGGAAAGACACGCUCAUCAGCUGUAAGUGGGUGGGAGCAGAAACGACAAUAAGAGGAAGACAACAAUUAUUUUGGCUCGGAAAGGAGGUAGUAGAGUUUAGAGGAAGAAGACACUGAGUUUUAAUGUGGGAUGGGAUGCCUGAAUCGGAGAGCCCACCGUCGCUAUUCAGCUUUUGUUAGAAACCCCACUCAAUGAAUGAGUAGGAUCAGCAUGUCUACCACUUGUUCGAUAUAAUGUUAACACCAAG
Molecule: long non-coding RNA, 520 nt
Filed under: Populus trichocarpa (black cottonwood)
Lineage: Eukaryota; Viridiplantae; Streptophyta; Magnoliopsida; Malpighiales; Salicaceae
Description: long non-coding RNA (PTRI_LNC003643)
Source: RNAcentral